RNAcentral lists this ribosomal RNA (292 nucleotides) under uncultured Pseudomonas sp. RNAcentral's name for it is "partial 16S ribosomal RNA". It matches the Rfam family "Bacterial small subunit ribosomal RNA", at positions 1089 to 1382 of the family's 1533-position model. Lineage: Bacteria; Pseudomonadati; Pseudomonadota; Gammaproteobacteria; Pseudomonadales; Pseudomonadaceae. The record is from RNAcentral.
GUAACGAGCGCAACCCUUGUCCUUAGUUACCAGCACGUUAUGUGGGCACUCUAAGGAGACUGCCGGUGCAAACCGGAGGAAAGUGGGGAUGACGUCAAGUCAUCAUGGCCCUUACGGCCUGGGCUACACACGUGCUACAAUGGUCGGUACAAAGGGUUGCCAAGCCGCGAGGUGGAGCUAAUCCCAUAAAACCGAUCGUAGUCCGGAUCGCAGUCUGCAACUCGACUGCGUGAAGUCGGAAUCGCUAGUAAUCGUGAAUCAGAAUGUCACGGUGAAUACGUUCCCGGGCCUU